RNAcentral lists this ribosomal RNA (270 nucleotides) under uncultured bacterium. RNAcentral's name for it is "partial 16S ribosomal RNA". It matches the Rfam family "Bacterial small subunit ribosomal RNA", at positions 28 to 295 of the family's 1533-position model. The record is from RNAcentral.
GAUGAACGCUAGCGGCAGGCUUAACACAUGCAAGUCGAGGGGCAGCAAGGGUAGCAAUACCUGUUGGCGACCGGCAAACGGGUGCGGAACACGUACAGAAUCUACCUUGAUCUGGGGCAUAGCCCGGAGAAAUCCGGAUUAACUCCCCAUAAUAUAUUUGGAAGGCAUCUUUUGGAUAUUAAAAAUUUAUUGGAUUGAGAUGACUGUGCGUCCCAUUAGCUAGUUGGUAGGGUAACGGCCUACCAAGGCAACGAUGGGUAGCUGGUGUGA